RNAcentral lists this ribosomal RNA (398 nucleotides) under uncultured bacterium. RNAcentral's name for it is "bacterial SSU rRNA". It matches the Rfam family "Bacterial small subunit ribosomal RNA", at positions 29 to 424 of the family's 1533-position model. The record is from RNAcentral.
AUUGAACGCUGGCGGCAUGCCUUACACAUGCAAGUCGGACGGCAGCGCGGAGGGGUAACUCUCUGGCGGCGAGUGGCGAACGGGUGAGUAAUAUAUCAGAACGUACCUGGUAGUGGGGGAUAACUCGUUGAAAGAUGAGCUAAUACCGCAUACGCCCUGAGGGGGAAAGUGGGGGAUCUGAAAGGACCUCAUGCUAACAGAGCGGCCGAUAACUGAUUAGCUGGUUGGUGGGGUAAAGGCCUACCAAGGCGACGAUCAGUAGCUGGUCUGAGAGGACGACCAGCCACACUGGAACUGAGAGACGGUCCAGACUCCUACGGAGGCAGCAGUGGGGAAUUUUGGACAAUGGGGGCAACCCUGAUCCAGCAAUGCCGCGUGAGUGAAGAAGGCCUCGGGUU